GAGGCCGCCAGUGUCGCUGCUGAAGGGUGGACCAGGCGGGAUCGCGGAUUCUGGGCUAGAUCGCAGACUUGAAUUCGACACCAAAUUUUGGAACUUAAAAAGAAGAUUCUUAAAACUUACAAUCCAGGUUGUUUAGGCUGAGAAGGAAGAGAGGUUGGUCUUGCUGUCUCUGGGUUGCAGAGGCAGAAGAAAAUCUGCAUAUAAAUGAACUCCUGCAAUUCAAACCCUUGCUGUUCAAGGGUGAACUGUAUUACCUGUUAAUUUGUGUCACUAAGAAAGUAUCUUUAGA
This 289-nucleotide small RNA is filed under the name Pan troglodytes (chimpanzee). RNAcentral's name for it is "processed transcript". Lineage: Eukaryota; Metazoa; Chordata; Mammalia; Primates; Hominidae. The record is from RNAcentral.